RNAcentral lists this ribosomal RNA (255 nucleotides) under uncultured bacterium. RNAcentral describes it as "partial 16S ribosomal RNA". It matches the Rfam family "Bacterial small subunit ribosomal RNA", at positions 96 to 354 of the family's 1533-position model. The record is from RNAcentral.
CGGCGGACGGGUGAGUAAUGCUUAGGAAUCUGCCUAUUAGUGGGGGACAACAUUCCGAAAGGAAUGCUAAUACCGCAUACGCCCUACGGGGGAAAGCAGGGGAUCUUCGGACCUUGCGCUAAUAGAUGAGCCUAAGUCAGAUUAGCUAGUUGGUGGGGUAAAGGCCUACCAAGGCGACGAUCUGUAGCGGGUCUGAGAGGAUGAUCCGCCACACUGGGACUGAGACACGGCCCAGACUCCUACGGAAGGCAGCAG